GCGCCUGUAGCUCAGUUGGAUAGAGCGUUGGGUUGCGGACCCAAAGGUCGGAGGUUCGAAUCCUCUCAGGCGUACCA
This 77-nucleotide transfer RNA is filed under the name Candidatus Omnitrophota bacterium. Its description in RNAcentral is "tRNA-Arg". It matches the Rfam family "tRNA". Rfam says of the family: Transfer RNA (tRNA) molecules are approximately 80 nucleotides in length. The record is from RNAcentral. Lineage: Bacteria; Pseudomonadati; Candidatus Omnitrophota.